This 323-nucleotide unclassified non-coding RNA is filed under the name soil metagenome. RNAcentral describes it as "partial contains 5.8S ribosomal RNA, internal transcribed spacer 2, and large subunit ribosomal RNA". The stretch from base 1 to 120 matches the Rfam family "5.8S ribosomal RNA", at positions 35 to 154 of the family's 154-position model. The record is from RNAcentral.
GAUGAAGAACGCAGCGAAAUGCGAUAAGUAAUGCGAAUUGCAGAAUUCAGUGAGUCAUCGAAUCUUUGAACGCACAUUGCGCCCUGUGGUAUUCCGCAGGGCAUGCCUGUUCGAGCGUCAUUUCAACCCUCAAGCUCUGCUUGGUGUUGGGCCCUGCCCGCUGCGGCCGGCCCUAAAGACAGUGGCGGUGCCGCCUGGCCCUGAGCGUAGUACAUCUCUCGCUCCAGUGCCCGGUGGUAGCCUGCCAGAACCCCAUCUCUCGUGGUUGACCUCGGAUCAGGUAGGGAUACCCGCUGAACUUAAGCAUAUCAAUAAGCGGAGGA